RNAcentral lists this long non-coding RNA (3183 nucleotides) under Homo sapiens (human). RNAcentral's name for it is "non-protein coding lnc-TNK2-11:1". Lineage: Eukaryota; Metazoa; Chordata; Mammalia; Primates; Hominidae. The record is from RNAcentral.
UCCACAGGUGACACCACGCCUCUUCCUGUCACUAGCCCUUCCUCAGCAUCCACAGGUCACGCCAGCCCUCUUCUUGUCACUGACGCUUCCUCAGCAUCCACAGGUCAGGCCACCCCUCUUCCUGUCACCGACACUUCCUCAGUAUCCACAGCUCACGCCACCCCACUUCCUGUCACCGGCCUUUCUUCAGCUUCCACAGAUGACCGACACUUCCUCAGUAUCCACAGGUCACGCCACCUCUCUUCCUGUCACCAGCCGUUCCUCAGCAUCCACAGGUCACGCCACCCCCCUUCCUGUCACCGACACUUCCUCAGUAUCCACAGGUCACGCCACCCCUCUUCCUGUCACCAGCACUUCCUCAGUAUCUACAGGUCACGCCACCCCUCUUCCUGUCACCAGCCCUUCCUCAGCAUCCACAGGUCACGCCACCCCUGUUCCUGUCACCAGCACUUCCUCAGCAUCCACAGGUGACACCACCCCUCUUCCUGUCACCAAUGCUUCCUCAUUAUCCACAGGUCACGCCACCCCUCUUCAUGUCACCAGCCCUUUAAGGGUGUGGAAGGUAUGGGUGUGGAAGGUAUGGGUGUGGAAGGUAUGGGUGUGGAAGGUAUGGAUGUGGAAGGUAUGGGUGUGGAAGGUAUGGGUGUGGAAGGUAUGACUGUGGAAGGUAUGGGUGUGGAAGGUAUGACUGUGGAAGGUAUGGGUGUGGAAGGUAUGGGUGUGGAAGGUAUGGGUGUGGAAGGUAUGGAUGUGGAAGGUAUGGGUGUGGAAGGUAUGGGUGUGGAAGGUAUGACUGUGGAAGGUAUGGGUGUGGAAGGUAUGACUGUGGAAGGUAUGGGUGUGGAAGGUAUGGGUGUGGAAGGUAUGGGUGUGGAAGGUAUGGGUGUGGAAGGUAUGGAUGUGGAAGGUAUGGGUGUGGAAGGUAUGGGUGUGGAAGGUAUGACUGUGGAAGGUAUGGGUGUGGAAGGUAUGACUGUGGAAGGUAUGGGUGUGGAAGGUAAGGGUGUGGAAGGUAUGGGUGUGGAAGGUAUGGGUGUGGAAGGUAUGGGUGUGGAAGGUAUGACUGUGGAAGGUAUGGCCGUGGAAGGUAUGGGUGUGGAAGGUAUGGGUGUGGAAGGUAUGGGUGUGGAAGGUAUGGGUGUGGAAGGUAUGGGUGUGGAAGGUAUGGGUGUGGAAGGUAUGACUGUGGAAGGUAUGGGUGUGGAAGGUAAGGGUGUGGAAGGUAUGGGUGUGGAAGGUAUGGGUGUGGAAGGUAUGACUGUGGAAGGUAUGGGUGUGGAAGGUAUGGGUGUGGAAGGUAUGGGUGUGGAAGGUAUGGGUGUGGAAGGUAUGGGUGCGGAAGGUAUGGGUGUGGAAGGUAUGGGUGCGGAAGGUAUGGGUGUGGAAGGUAUGGGUGUGGAAGGUAUGGAUGCGGAAGGUAUGGGUGUGGAAGGUAUGGGUGCGGAAGGUAUGGGUGCGGAAGGUAUGGGUGUGGAAGGUAUGGGUGUGGAAGGUAUGGGUGUGGAAGGUAUGGGUGUGGAAGGUAUGGCUGUGGAAGGUAUGGGUGUGGAAGGUAUGGGUGUGGAAGGUAUGACUGUGGAAGGUAUGGGUGUGGAAGGUAUGGGUGUGGAAGGUAUGGGUGUGGAAGGUAUGGGUGUGGAAGGUAUGGGUGUGGAAGGUAUGGGUGUGGAAGGUAUGGAUGUGGAAGGUAUGGGUGUGGAAGGUAUGGGUGUGGAAGGUAUGACUGUGGAAGGUAUGGGUGUGGAAGGUAUGGCUGUGGAAGGUAUGGGUGUGGAAGGUAAGGGUGUGGAAGGUAUGGGUGUGGAAGGUAUGGGUGUGGAAGGUAAGGGUGUGGAAGGUAUGGGUGUGGAAGUUAUGGCCGUGGAAGGUAUGGAUGUGGAAGGUAUGGGUGUGGAAGGUAUGACUGUGGAAGGUAUGGAUGUGGAAGGUAUGGGUGUGGAAGGUAUGGGUGUGGAAGGUAUGACUGUGGAAGGUAUGGGUGUGGAAGGUAUGGGUGUGGAAGGUAUGGGUGUGGAAGGUAUGGGUGUGGAAGGUAUGGCCGUGGAAGGUAUGGGUGUGGAAGGUAUGACCGUGGAAGGUAUGGCCGUGGAAGGUAUGGGUGUGGAAGGUAAGGGUGUGGAAGGUAUGGGUGUGGAAGGUAUGGGUGUGGAAGGUAAGGGUGUGGAAGGUAUGGAUGUGGAAGGUAUGGGUGUGGAAGGUAUGGGUGUGGAAGGUAUCGGUGUGGAAGGUAUGGGUGUGGAAGGUAUGACUGUGGAAGGUAUGGGUGUGGAAGGUAUGACUGUGGAAGGUAUGGGUGUGGAAGGUAUGGGUGUGGAAGGUAUGGGUGUGGAAGGUAUGGGUGUGGAAGGUAUGACUGUGGAAGGUAUGGGUGUGGAAGGUAUGGGUGUGGAAGGUAUGGCUGUGGAAGGUAUGGGUGUGGAAGGUAUGACUGUGGAAGGUAUGGGUGUGGAAGGUAUGGGUGUGGAAGGUAUGGGUGUGGAAGGUAUGGGUGUGGAAGGUAUGGGUGUGGAAGGUACGAGUGUGGUAGGUAUGGCUGCAGAAAGUCGUCCCGGUGCUGCAUGGGGGUGGAUCCCCGAAGCAUUUGGGGUGGCUGAAAAUGAGAAGAAGGGUAGCAAAAAGUGCGGCCGGCAUGCGGGGAAUCCUGUAGGCAACGGGAGCCAGGGAGGACUCAGUUUUGCAUUGUACAAAUGGCAUUUAACAAGUGGUGCCUGGAGCGGUCCGAUUUGCAGGCAGUGAGGAGGCCAGGAGAGCCUGCGGGUUUCCAAGCAGGACCAGGGGAGGGCGCCAAGGAGUCGGCAGCUGCGAGAAAUAUUUGGGACAAGGUUUCUCAAACUGGAGCCCGAGGGCCUCUAGGGAGUCCUAGGUUAAAUUGGAGGAGUCUUCAAGUUUAUCUGGAGAAAGGCCGUCUUAGGAAACAAGUCUCAUUCCCUGAAAAGGGCUUUGCAGUUACUCAUCUUCAUUGCGCUGGACUUUUGUCUAUUUUUUUUUUUUUUUUUGAGAUGGAGUUUUCGCUCUUGUUGCCCAGGCUGGAGUGCAGUGGCGCGAUCUCAGCUCACUGGAACCUCAGCCUCCCGGGUUCAAGCAAAAGUGGGCAGGGUCCUCAGGCAGAAAGUGGGGGGCCCAUGUGUAGGAGUGGGACCCUCGUUGGCUUGUUUUCAUCUGCCCUCCUUUCCUAGGAAUACG